This is a long non-coding RNA of Strigops habroptila (Kakapo), 467 nucleotides long. RefSeq lists it as uncharacterized. NCBI's taxonomy places the organism in Eukaryota, Metazoa, Chordata, Aves, Psittaciformes, Psittacidae. The record is from RefSeq and is a predicted model, not a curated record. The transcript is spliced from 4 exons.
UAAUUUGUUAUUUGAAACAGGAAUCAUCCCUAGGUAAAAACAGAAGGCCUGAUUUUUCUUCAAGCACUUUAAAAAUCAGAAGCCUGCACAUGAAGAUCGGGUAGAAUAUCUAGCGCCAAUUUGAUCCCCCUGUGAAUGGUGGAAGGCUCCAACUUGAAGAUAUUUAUAGGGACGCUGGCAGGGAUGACACUCAUUUUGAAGGCUGGAGCAUCACAACCCAAACAAGCACUCGAAGAAAGGUAUCAGUUUGGAAAAACAGAAGUAUUUCAAAUGAUUCUGCAUUGACUGUCAUGGUCUUGAAUGCUACUAGGAAUCCAGCCUGAUGUUUUGACUCACAGCCUUCUCUCUACCAAUUAACCUGAACAGCAAAGGAAUGCUCUUGCCUGUAUCAUCUGUCUCUUCAGAAUUUGUCUGCAUAGCCUGUUACAGCAAACCAUGAGAUACGUACACAAGCCUACAAGGAUAUA